CCUACGGGUGGCAGCAGUGAGGAAUAUUGGUCAAUGGGCGCGAGCCUGAACCAGCCAAGUCGCGUGAAGGAUGACUGCCCUACGGGUUGUAAACUUCUUUUAUACAGGAAUAAAGUGAGGCACGUGUGCCUUUUUGUAUGUACUUUAUGAAUAAGGAUCGGCUAACUCCGUGCCAGCAGCCGCGGUAAUACGGAGGAUCCGAGCGUUAUCCGGAUUUAUUGGGUUUAAAGGGUGCGUAGAUGGGUUGUUAAGUCAGUUGUGAAAUUUUGCGGCUCAACCGUAAAAUUGCAAUUGAUACUGGCAGCCUUGAGUACAGUUGAGGUAGGCGGAAUUCGUGGUGUAGCGGUGAAAUGCUUAGAUAUCACGAAGAACACCGAUUGCGAAGGCAACCUACUAAACUGCCACUGACAUUGAUGCACGAAAGUGUGGGGAUCAAACAGGAUUAGAUACCCCAGUAGUC
This 460-nucleotide ribosomal RNA is filed under the name uncultured bacterium. RNAcentral describes it as "partial 16S ribosomal RNA". It matches the Rfam family "Bacterial small subunit ribosomal RNA", at positions 338 to 795 of the family's 1533-position model. The record is from RNAcentral.